UACGGGAGGCAGCAGUGGGGAAUAUUGGACAAUGGGNGAAAGUCUGAUCCAGCAAUGCCGCGUGUGUGAAGAAGGCCUUCGGGUUGUAAAGCACUUUCAAUAGNGAGGAAAAGUUA
This 116-nucleotide ribosomal RNA is filed under the name uncultured bacterium. Its description in RNAcentral is "partial 16S ribosomal RNA". It matches the Rfam family "Bacterial small subunit ribosomal RNA", at positions 340 to 455 of the family's 1533-position model. The record is from RNAcentral.